UUUCUUCCUGCCAGAGCAUUAGCUUAGAUAAUUUCAAGAAUUCUAUAAUUCUACAACAGAGGUUUUAGACCUCAAUUUGGCCUAAAAGUCAGGUCAUGCCACACAUGUCUGGUUGCCCUAGAAAAUAUAUUUUUAAACUAUAUAGUUGCAUAUGAUUGCAAGCACAAUGUAUAGAUAACAGUUUUAAUGCAAACCAGAAGUUCUUGUCAUCCAGGUUUUGUGUAUGGGAUGGUAUGGCCACCUAAAAACUUUUUUAAUUUAAUCCUGUUAUUAGUAUAACUAUGUUUAAAUGUUAUACAUAGUAAUCAAG
Molecule: non-coding RNA, 310 nt
Organism: Pelobates cultripes (western spadefoot toad)
Lineage: Eukaryota; Metazoa; Chordata; Amphibia; Anura; Pelobatidae
Source: the annotation of a GenBank genome assembly